Molecule: ribosomal RNA, 1189 nt
Filed under: Klebsiella aerogenes
Lineage: Bacteria; Pseudomonadati; Pseudomonadota; Gammaproteobacteria; Enterobacterales; Enterobacteriaceae
Description: partial 23S ribosomal RNA
Rfam family: Bacterial large subunit ribosomal RNA
Source: RNAcentral
GGAACGGUCUGGAAAGUCCGACGGUACAGGGUGAUAGUCCCGUACACCAAAAUGCACAGGCUGUGAACUCGAAGAGUAGGGCGGGACACGUGGUAUCCUGUCUGAAUAUGGGGGGACCAUCCUCCAAGGCUAAAUACUCCUGACUGACCGAUAGUGAACCAGUACCGUGAGGGAAAGGCGAAAAGAACCCCGGCGAGGGGAGUGAAAAAGAACCUGAAACCGUGUACGUACAAGCAGUGGGAGCACCCUUUGGGGUGUGACUGCGUACCUUUUGUAUAAUGGGUCAGCGACUUAUAUUCUGUAGCAAGGUUAACCGUAUAGGGGAGCCGCAGGGAAACCGAGUCUUAACUGGGCGUUAAGUUGCAGGGUAUAGACCCGAAACCCGGUGAUCUAGCCAUGGGCAGGUUGAAGGUUGGGUAACACUAACUGGAGGACCGAACCGACUAAUGUUGAAAAAUUAGCGGAUGACUUGUGGCUGGGGGUGAAAGGCCAAUCAAACCGGGAGAUAGCUGGUUCUCCCCGAAAGCUAUUUAGGUAGCGCCUCGUGAACUCAUCUUCGGGGGUAGAGCACUGUUUCGGCUAGGGGGUCAUCCCGACUUACCAACCCGAUGCAAACUACGAAUACCGAAGAAUGUUAUCACGGGAGACACACGGCGGGUGCUAACGUCCGUCGUGAAGAGGGAAACAACCCAGACCGCCAGCUAAGGUCCCAAAGUCACAGUUAAGUGGGAAACGAUGUGGGAAGGCACAGACAGCCAGGAUGUUGGCUUAGAAGCAGCCAUCAUUUAAAGAAAGCGUAAUAGCUCACUGGUCGAGUCGGCCUGCGCGGAAGAUGUAACGGGGCUAAACUGUGCACCGAAGCUGCGGCAGCGACACUAUGUGUUGUUGGGUAGGGGAGCGUUCUGUAAGCCUGCGAAGGUGGCCUGUGAGGGUUGCUGGAGGUAUCAGAAGUGCGAAUGCUGACAUAAGUAACGAUAAUGCGGGUGAAAAGCCCGCACGCCGGAAGACCAAGGGUUCCUGUCCAACGUUAAUCGGGGCAGGGUGAGUCGACCCCUAAGGCGAGGCCGAAAGGCGUAGUCGAUGGGAAACAGGUUAAUAUUCCUGUACUUGGUGUUACUGCGAAGGGGGGACGGAGAAGGCUAUGUUAGCCGGGCGACGGUUGUCCCGGUUUAAGCAUGUAGGCGGAGGU